UGUGUGUGUGUGUGUGUGUGUGUGUGUGUGUGUGUGUGUGUGUGUGUGUGUGUGUGUGUGUGUGUGUGUGUGUGUGUGCAAUGUAUCCAGCAGGAGUCAUCUCACACAUACACACACUCUCUCUCCCUCGAUGCACAAGCUCUCGUUCCCCUCGGAGGUGUUGUUCCGAUGUUUGGAAAGACGGCGGCCUUUGCUGGAUUAGCGCCGCGCUCCGCAGGCUGCUGUGCUGCUACUGGUUCAGAACGCUACGGUUUGGCUCCGCCCCUCUGGUCGACACGUUCCGUCACUCAGAUGUCAAACGCCGUCCGACGUCGGUUCUUCUGGCUUCCGAUCGGAUCACAAACGGAGCGGCGGCACCGUCAGGAGCUGGAGUCACUCACCCUGCCAUCCCGAGUCUUCCUGUUCCUGUAGCUGGUUAGCGCUGAUCAGCGCCGGCUAGUAGCAGUUAGCGCUGAUCAGCGCCGGCUAGUAGCAGUUAGCGCUGAUCAGCGCCGGCUAGCAGCAGUUAGCGCUGAUCAGCGCCAGAGGCCGAUGGCUUCUCCAGAAAUCUAAAGCUCCUCCCACUUUCUACUUAAAUCAUCCAAGAAAAAAGCCUUUAAUCUGAAGUGGGCCCUCCGGGAGCCGACGGGUCGGGUGUAAUUCCCCCUCCUGCCAGCAGAUGCCGCAGCGCCAGCAGUGCUCCUGCCACCGUUAACGGAACUUCAGGUUUAUCUUCCUCCAAGGGUCUGAACGUUGACCUCUUCAGGUUUCUCACAGUGAGCAACACGUUCUGCAGCUGCUGUAAAAAAAACAAAACAAAAAAUAACUCCUAAAAUGUUGGUUUGAGGUCAAGCUGAUGGGACGAGGCUAAUGCUAACUAGCGUUACCAUCCUGAGGAAUGUAGAGCAACUUCAACUCCACAUUACACAUUAAUCAUGUGAAGCUGGAGCCCAACUCGCAUGAGCAUUAGCGCAGCUCCAGUUAGCAUUAGCGCAGCUCCAGUUAGCAUUAGCACUGUGAUGAACGUUGAUCUGGAAACCAAACACUGCAGACAGCUUCACGUCAUGAUGGAGAUAUCUGAGAUUCAUGCAGACUUCAAGCUCUACCUGUAGCUUUAGCUGUAGCUUUAGCUUUAGCAUUAGCUUUGGCUUUAGCACCACUUUCCAAACACUGAUAGAGAAAAGUGGAGCACUGGAAAAAGAAAACACUAAACACAAACAAAACCUGGAAGUGAAGAGCUGGUCCCGGUCGUCCCAUUAGCAUUAGCUCACAGGUAGCGCUAGCACAGCUAUGCGUUCACCAGCAGCGAGCUCCACCCGUCAGCCUGUGGUGGAGCUGAAGGAAGUAGCGUUAGCAUGACCUCAGAGCCACAUUCUCAAAGCUAAUGCUAUUAGCACCUAGCAUGUGUCAUUUGACACCUGGCUCACAGUUUGUCGGCACCCGUUAGCAUUAGCACGUCUCUUCUGCAGCCCGGUGAUGGAGAGGAAGAGGCGGAGCUUCAGCCUUCAUGCUAACAGGAGAACCAGCCACGUUCUGUCUUGAUGGAACCCAAACCUCCUGCCGCCCCCUGCUGCUAGCGCUAGCUUUAACGUUAGCAUUAGCACGGUCCUCAGCCGCUCAAAACAGGAAGUCAGGUUCUCCUCCUGCAUCAGUCGCUGUUCACACGAAUCCAGCACUUUGAUGGAGUCAGUGACGAUCUGAAGAGUCAGACCUCCACCUGCUCCACUUCCUGCUCCUCCACCUGCUCCACUUCCUGCUCCUCCACCUGCUCCACUUCCUGCUCCACUUCCUGCUCCUCCACCUGCUCCACUUCCUGCUCCACUUCCUGCUCCACUUCCUGCUCCUCCACCUGCUCCACUUCCUGCUCCUCCACCUGCUCCACCCAGAGACUCCGUGUCCAAUUUGUGUCCUUGAUGCCUUUUUUCAUCAUUUUGUCUCCGUACUGAUCCCGAUCCUGAUCCGGUUCCUGUCUGGAUCCGGAUCUGGUCUGGGAGAGCUCAGCUGGGAUGUGACGUUGCUGCUGCACAUUUGAAAGAAGUUGUUUUAUGAGGAACCUCUUUUAUUGUGAAAGGAUCCUGGAUCCAGGAUCCUGCUGCUGUUCUCCGCAGAACCCGCCCCCUCCCACAGCUGGCUGCAGUUCACUGCCUCAGCCGCCAGAGGGCGCUGGCGCUUCUCUGUUGUCUCCUCAAAGCAGAGCAACCAGAAUGUGAAGGUGAGGUUCUGGAAGGUUCUGCUGGCGGCGCCCGACAGGUCCGGGUUCUGGAAGGUUCUGCUGGCGGCGCCCGACAGGUCCGGGUUCUGGAAGGUUCUGCCGGCGGCGCCCGACAGGUCCGGGUUCUGGAAGGUUCUGCUGGCGGCGCCCGACAGGUCCGGGUUCUGGAAGGUUCUGCCGGCGGCGCCCGACAGGUCCGGGUUCUGGAAGGUUCUGCUGGCGGCGCCCGACAGGUCCGGGUUCUGGAAGGUUCUGGAAGGUUCUGCCGCUCCGCUCCUUUAUUUUUCUAAGUUUUCCAGAGUUUUCAAAACAGAAAUAAAAAGUGAGAAUGAAUGAAGAGUUGAGAGGGGCGGGGCGGGGGCGGGGCCAAGGUGGGGGCGGGGCUCUCCGAGCAAUGUUUAUAUUUAUAGGUCGAUUUUUUCAUGAGGGGGUGUGGUCUGAGCUGGUUUUGUAAACUUUGUGUUUCUACGGUAACGAUCUCCUGCGAGUCAAUAAAACUCUGAAACCCGA
Molecule: long non-coding RNA, 2701 nt
Organism: Salarias fasciatus (jewelled blenny)
Lineage: Eukaryota; Metazoa; Chordata; Actinopteri; Blenniiformes; Blenniidae
Exons: 2
Source: RefSeq, a predicted model, not a curated record